CUACGGGAUGCAGCAGUCGAGAAUAGUCUACAAUGGACGAAAGUCUGAUAGUGCGACGCCGCGUGGAUGAAGAAGCAUUUCGGUGUGUAAAGUCCUUUUCUGUGUGAGCAAUGUUUUCCAGGUUAAUAGCUUGGAGAAAGCGAUAUUAACACAGGAAUAAGCUCCGGCUAACUCCGUGCCAGCAGCCGCGGUAACACGGGGGGAGCAAGCGUUGUCCGGAAUUACUAGGCGUAAAGGGUAAGUAGGCGGAAUUGUAAGUCAGAUGUUAAAGGCACCGGCUCAACCGGUGUAUGGCAUUUGAUACUGUAAUUCUAGAGUAAGGUGGGGGAAGACGGAAUUCCUGGUGUAGCGGCGGAAUGCGCAGAUAUCAGGAGGAACACCAGAGGCGCAGGCGGUCUUCUAUACCAUUACUGACGCUCAAUUACGAAGGUGUGGGUAUCAAACAGGAUUAGAUACCCGCGUAGUC
RNAcentral lists this ribosomal RNA (466 nucleotides) under uncultured bacterium. RNAcentral's name for it is "partial 16S ribosomal RNA". It matches the Rfam family "Bacterial small subunit ribosomal RNA", at positions 339 to 795 of the family's 1533-position model. The record is from RNAcentral.